RNAcentral lists this ribosomal RNA (537 nucleotides) under uncultured bacterium. RNAcentral describes it as "bacterial SSU rRNA". It matches the Rfam family "Bacterial small subunit ribosomal RNA", at positions 102 to 674 of the family's 1533-position model. The record is from RNAcentral.
ACGGGUGAGUAACGCGUGGGAAUCUACCCAUCCCUACGGAAUAACGCAUGGAAACGUGUGCUAAUACCGUAUACGCCCUACGGGGGAAAGAUUUAUCGGGGAUGGAUGAGCCCGCGUUGGAUUAGCUAGUUGGUGGGGUAAAGGCCUACCAAGGCGACGAUCCAUAGCUGGUCUGAGAGGAUGAUCUGCCACAUUGGGACUGAGACACGGCCCAAACUCCUACGGGAGGCAGUAGUGGGGAAUAUUGGACAAUGGGCGCAAGCCUGAUCCAGCCAUGCCGCGUGAGUGAUGAAGGCCUUAGGGUUGUAAAGCUCUUUCACCGGAGAAGAUAAUGACGGUAUCCGGAGAAGAAGCCCCGGCUAACUUCGUGCCAGCAGCCGCGGUAAUACGAAGGGGGCUAGCGUUGUUCGGAAUUACUGGGCGUAAAGCGCACGUAGGCGGACUUUUAAGUCAGGGGUGAAAUCCCGGGGCUCAACCUCGGAACUGCCUUUGAUACUGGAAGUCUGGAGUAUGGAAGAGGUGAGUGGAAUUCCGAGU